GAUGAAGAACGUAGCGAAAUGCGAUAAGUAGUGUGAAUUGCAGAAUUCAGUGAAUCAUCGAAUCUUUGAACGCACAUUGCGCCCGCCAGUAUUCUGGCGGGCAUGCCUGUUCGAGCGUCAUCUCAACCCUCAAGACCCCUUCGGGGGACUUGGUGUUGGGGACCGGCACAGGGGCCUGCCUGCUUGUCUUGCAGCGCCCUCGCCGCCCCCGAAAUGAAUUGGCGGCCUCGUCGCGGCCUCCCCUGCGUAGUAGCACAACCUCGCAACGGGAACGUGACGGCGGCCACUGCCGUAAAACAACCCCAAUUUUAUUAGUGUUGACCUCGAAUCAGGUAGGAAUACCCGCUGAACUUAAGCAUAUCAAUAAGCGGAGGA
This 375-nucleotide unclassified non-coding RNA is filed under the name soil metagenome. RNAcentral's name for it is "partial contains 5.8S ribosomal RNA, internal transcribed spacer 2, and large subunit ribosomal RNA". The stretch from base 1 to 120 matches the Rfam family "5.8S ribosomal RNA", at positions 35 to 154 of the family's 154-position model. The record is from RNAcentral.